AGGCGAACUUUCACCUUCACUUUUGCUCUCUCACUUGAUGAAGAUUGGAAAGGACCAAUCGUAUACGUACUGAUCUUAGCAGGCACCUGCAGUUCGCUCACAUCAGCAUAUUGUACAUCGAUGGUGAAUGUCCCUGACCUGUAGAAUGUCAAAGCCUUUAUACUGGGUAUGGGAUUUCCCUUGGGAAAGACAAUUGUGCUUUGCUGAUUAUCUGCUGCUCCACUCUGCGAAUCUGGUGCAGCACCUUUCCAUGAUAAAGCAACUGA
Molecule: unclassified non-coding RNA, 266 nt
Filed under: Hevea brasiliensis (rubber tree)
Lineage: Eukaryota; Viridiplantae; Streptophyta; Magnoliopsida; Malpighiales; Euphorbiaceae
Source: RNAcentral